RNAcentral lists this long non-coding RNA (1007 nucleotides) under Sus scrofa (pig). RNAcentral's name for it is "lncRNA (ENSSSCG00070021106.1)". Lineage: Eukaryota; Metazoa; Chordata; Mammalia; Artiodactyla; Suidae. The record is from RNAcentral.
UAGAGUUUCGCGCGGGAAGAUAGAGCGGUCCUGCCCUCAGCCACCAUCUUGUUUAAAACCCUGUCUCCGCCGUCUCCAGAGCAGUCGUCUACAAGCAAACCUAGAAAAAGUUCACUGUAAUGAAGAGUGGGGUAUCAGAUUUCACUGACGUUCUUUAAGUCCUAGGAGGUGUCCGCGAAGCCAGAAACAUGCUCUCCCUCGGAAUGAGUUUACCUGGCCCUCGUUCUAGGGAAAAAAGCUGCUGCUUUUCCUGAAAGGUUAUAAUCUUACCUCUCCAGUUCCAGGAUUUUCAGCACUACCUGUAUGCCUUCAUUGCUUCAGUAAGCUAAGUGGACAACAGAAUUGUGUAACAAGACAAGCAACUAAGCUGGGCUUGGAAUCUGGUUGUUUUGUUUGAGAUGUGACCUGCUAGAUGGAAACUGCAAACACUCGUUUGAAUGAAUACAUUUAUGUAGCAUAUAAUAUCAUCACCCCCAGCUCUUCCUACUCAGUUUUCUGUGUUUUAUGGCAUUUGCUUUGAGAGAGAGAAAACAACAACAACAGUCUUCCUGAGAGUAUUGUUUAAAAGUCCAAUUUCUGCUCUUGUCAAAGAUGUAUUACAUGACCCAACAAUUCCAGUCCUAGGUAUCUACCUCCCUCCAAAAUUAAAAACAGGUGGAAACAACCCAAACAUCCGUCAACAGAUGAAUGAGUAAAUUGUGGCAUGUGUGUGUAAUGGACUAUGAAUCGCCAAAAGGAAUGAAGUGUUAAUGCAUGCUCCAGCUCGAUGAACUUUGAAAACAUUUUGCUAAGAAGCCAAAAAAGGUCACAUGCUUUAUGCUUUCAUUGAUAAGAGAUAUUCAGAGUAGGUAAGUACAUAGAAACAAAAAGCAGACUGGCGGCUUCUCUUGCGAAAAAGUGAGUUAAAGAUGCGGCACCGUCCCUGUAGGGACUCAGGUCGCUGCUGUGGUGUGAGUUGGAUCCUUGGCCAGGGAACUUCCACAUGCCGCGGAUGCAGCCAAAAAGGG